UGGAACAAGGAACAGGUGAAACACUAAUCAGGAAACAUGGCAACUAAUGAAAGAACGAGAACUCAGGCAAAUACAGACAAAGAAAACUGAAAACUGAAAACUAAACAAGACAGAGAAACUGAACAUAACUAUAAACCAGUGGUCUCAAACUGCCGGCCCGCGGGCCAAUUACGUUAUGGUGAUACUGGCAUGAGAGUGAUUAGGCUUAUCUGUUUUCAGGUUGAAGGGAGAAGUGGCUGAAGGACUGAAGACAGGCAGAUGAUGAUACACUGAAGACUGGAGAAGAUGAGACAGUUCGAUGCACAGGUGAUGCAGUGAGCACAGUGAAGCCUUCAGUGUUUUCGUCCAAAUGCCAGCUCAGUAUUGGCUGAGGCUGUGUUCACUUGAUCUGCAUGAUGCAUGCGUGUGAUGCUGACGCAGGAGCCGGCCAAUGACGUAGAACCUGGAAGCGCUGGACGUAAACAUGUAUGGCAGAGCAGACAAAUGCUGAAUGAUGGAUGAUAAGCCUAGAGUGCCGUGUUAUUUGUGUGUGUGUCCAAUCAUCAUUUACAUAUGCAUUUAUCAAAAAGCAGCAGUGAUAACAUAUUAAAGUGACACUUUUGCUUGUUUUAUACAAAGUUCAAUAAAGUUCUAGAUGUUUUAGUCUGGGUGUUUUCAUGAGUAACCUACUCCCAAGGUAAUGGAUCUAAGCUACCAUCUCUACAACAGCACUAAUUGCAUCAG
Molecule: long non-coding RNA, 723 nt
Organism: Megalobrama amblycephala (Wuchang bream)
Lineage: Eukaryota; Metazoa; Chordata; Actinopteri; Cypriniformes; Xenocyprididae
Exons: 3
Source: RefSeq, a predicted model, not a curated record